RNAcentral lists this ribosomal RNA (253 nucleotides) under uncultured bacterium. RNAcentral describes it as "partial 16S ribosomal RNA". It matches the Rfam family "Bacterial small subunit ribosomal RNA", at positions 524 to 776 of the family's 1533-position model. RNAcentral also lists the same sequence under 2 other names. The record is from RNAcentral.
UACGUAGGGUGCAAGCGUUGUCCGGAAUUAUUGGGCGUAAAGAGCUCGUAGGCGGUUUGUCGCGUCUGGUGUGAAAAUCCAGGGCUUAACCCUGGACCUGCAUCGGGUACGGGCAGACUAGAGUGCGGUAGGGGAGAUCGGAAUUCCUGGUGUAGCGGUGAAAUGCGCAGAUAUCAGGAGGAACACCGGUGGCGAAGGCGGAUCUCUGGGCCGUAACUGACGCUGAGGAGCGAAAGCAUGGGGAGCGAACAGG